CUUAAUUAGAGACUAGAAUGAAAGGUUAAACAUUUAAAUUUCUUUAACAAAAUCUCAUUUUAAAUUUAUUUUAAAUGUAAAAAAACAUUUAUUAUCUAGAAAGACGAUAAGACCCUAUUGAACUUUACUGUAGUUUAACUGGGGCAGUUAAUUAAUUAUAAUUUUAAUUUAUUAUUAUCAAAAAAUGACCCAAUAUAAUUGAUUUCAUGAUCAAGCUACCAUAGGGAUAACAGAGUAAUAUUUUUCUUUAGCUCUUAUAUAAAAAAAUGAUUACGACCUCGAUGUUGAAUUAAUUUCUCUAAAAAACGCAUCCAUUUUUCAAGAAAGUCUGUUCGACUUUUAAAUAAUUACAUGAUUUGAGUUCAGACCGGUAUAAACCAGGUCGGAUUCUAUCUUCUCACUCAUCUUCCUAGUACGAAAGGACCUGAAGAUAUUUUAUCAUCUUGGCAGAUAAAUGCAUUAGAAUUAGAAUCUAAUAAACUAAUAAUUUUAUUUUCAAUCAAUUUUAUUAUUACAACAAUUUGU
Molecule: ribosomal RNA, 525 nt
Filed under: Olios sp. 2 SCC-2010
Lineage: Eukaryota; Metazoa; Arthropoda; Arachnida; Araneae; Sparassidae
Description: partial 16S ribosomal RNA
Rfam family: Archaeal large subunit ribosomal RNA (bases 98-398)
Source: RNAcentral